This 431-nucleotide ribosomal RNA is filed under the name uncultured Pleomorphomonas sp. RNAcentral's name for it is "bacterial SSU rRNA". It matches the Rfam family "Bacterial small subunit ribosomal RNA", at positions 29 to 505 of the family's 1533-position model. The record is from RNAcentral. Lineage: Bacteria; Pseudomonadati; Pseudomonadota; Alphaproteobacteria; Hyphomicrobiales; Pleomorphomonadaceae.
AACGAACGCUGGCGGCAGGCUUAACACAUGCAAGUCGAACGCAUCCUUCGGGGUGAGUGGCAGACGGGUGAGUAACGCGUGGGAACCUACCUUUAGGUCUGGAAUAACUGAGGGAAACUUCAGCUAAUACCGGAUAGACCCGUGAGGGUAAAGAUUUAUCGCCUGAAGAUGGGCCCGCGCAGGAUUAGCUAGUUGGUGGGGUAAAGGCCUACCAAGGCGACGAUCCUUAGCUGGUCUGAGAGGAUGAUCAGCCACACUGGGACUGAGACACGGCCCAGACUCCUACGGGAGGCAGCAGUGGGGAAUAUUGGACAAUGGGCGCAAGCCUGAUCCAGCCAUGCCGCGUGAGUGAUGAAGGCCCUAGGGUUGUAAAGCUCUUUCGCACGUGACGAUAAUGACGGUAGCGUGAGAAGAAGCCCCGGCUAACUUCG